Molecule: ribosomal RNA, 253 nt
Filed under: uncultured bacterium
Lineage: Bacteria
Description: partial 16S ribosomal RNA
Rfam family: Bacterial small subunit ribosomal RNA
Source: RNAcentral
UACGUAGGGUGCGAGCGUUGUCCGGAAUUAUUGGGCGUAAACAGCUCGUAGGCGGUUUGUCACGUCGGAUGUGAAACCCCGGGGCUUAACUCCGGGCCUGCAUUCGAUACGGGCUGACUAGAGUUCGGCAGGGGAGACUGGAAUUCCUGGUGUAGCGGUGAAAUGCGUAGAUAUCUGGAGGAACACCGGUGGCGAAGGCGGCAUCCUGGACCAACACUGACGCUGAGGAGCGAAAGCCAGGGGAGCAAACGGG